RNAcentral lists this unclassified non-coding RNA (322 nucleotides) under uncultured Abrothallus. RNAcentral describes it as "sequence contains ITS1". The stretch from base 1 to 105 matches the Rfam family "5.8S ribosomal RNA", at positions 50 to 154 of the family's 154-position model. The record is from RNAcentral. Lineage: Eukaryota; Fungi; Ascomycota; Dothideomycetes.
GAAAUGCGAUAAGUAAUGUGAAUUGCAGAAUUCAGUGAACCAUCGAACCUUUGAACGCACAUUGCGCCCCCCGGCACCCCGGGGGGCACGCCCGUCCGAGCGUCAGUGCGCCCACUCAGGCCAGGCCGGGCGGCGGGCCCCGCGGGGGGCGCCCAGCCGGGCGCCCCGCGCGGGCCCGAGACGCGUUGGCGGCCCGCCCCGGCCGGGAGCGAACGAGGAGGCCACCGGCCGCCCCGCUCCCGCGCCCGGGCGCGGCCGCCCCAUCAACCAACCGAACCACGCGGUUGACCUCGGAUCGGGCGGGGCUACCCGCUGAACUUAA